Molecule: ribosomal RNA, 950 nt
Filed under: Pediococcus pentosaceus
Lineage: Bacteria; Bacillati; Bacillota; Bacilli; Lactobacillales; Lactobacillaceae
Description: bacterial SSU rRNA
Rfam family: Bacterial small subunit ribosomal RNA
Source: RNAcentral
UGAUUAUGACGUACUUGUACUGAUUGAGAUUUUAACACGAAGUGAGUGGCGAACGGGUGAGUAACACGUGGGUAACCUGCCCAGAAGUAGGGGAUAACACCUGGAAACAGAUGCUAAUACCGUAUAACAGAGAAAACCGCAUGGUUUUCUUUUAAAAGAUGGCUCUGCUAUCACUUCUGGAUGGACCCGCGGCGUAUUAGCUAGUUGGUGAGGUAAAGGCUCACCAAGGCAGUGAUACGUAGCCGACCUGAGAGGGUAAUCGGCCACAUUGGGACUGAGACACGGCCCAGACUCCUACGGGAGGCAGCAGUAGGGAAUCUUCCACAAUGGACGCAAGUCUGAUGGAGCAACGCCGCGUGAGUGAAGAAGGGUUUCGGCUCGUAAAGCUCUGUUGUUAAAGAAGAACGUGGGUAAGAGUAACUGUUUACCCAGUGACGGUAUUUAACCAGAAAGCCACGGCUAACUACGUGCCAGCAGCCGCGGUAAUACGUAGGUGGCAAGCGUUAUCCGGAUUUAUUGGGCGUAAAGCGAGCGCAGGCGGUCUUUUAAGUCUAAUGUGAAAGCCUUCGGCUCAACCGAAGAAGUGCAUUGGAAACUGGGAGACUUGAGUGCAGAAGAGGACAGUGGAACUCCAUGUGUAGCGGUGAAAUGCGUAGAUAUAUGGAAGAACACCAGUGGCGAAGGCGGCUGUCUGGUCUGCAACUGACGCUGAGGCUCGAAAGCAUGGGUAGCGAACAGGAUUAGAUACCCUGGUAGUCCAUGCCGUAAACGAUGAUUACUAAGUGUUGGAGGGUUUCCGCCCUUCAGUGCUGCAGCUAACGCAUUAAGUAAUCCGCGUGGGGAGUACGACCGCAAUGUUGAUCUCAAAAGAAUUGACGGGGGGCCCGCACAGCGGUGGAGCAUGGUGGUUUUAUUCGAAGCUACGCGAAGCAUCCUUACCAGGUCUUGAC